GUGGGGAAUCUUCCGCAAUGGACGAAAGUCUGACGGAGCAACGCCGCGUGAGUGAAGAAGGUUUUCGGAUCGUAAAGCUCUUUCGUUAGGGACGAACGGGCUCUUUGUGAAUAAUGAGGAGUAAUGACGGUACCUAAAUAAGAAGCCACGGCUAACUACGUGCCAGCAGCCGCGGUAAUACGUAGGUGGCAAGCGUUGUCCGGAAUUAUUGGGCGUAAAGCGCGCGCAGGCGGGAUAUCAAGUCUGUCUUAAAAGUGCGAGGCUCAACCUCGUGAGGGGACAGAAACUGGUAUUCUUGAGUGUCGGAGAGGAAAGUGGAAUUCCAAGUGUAGCGGUGAAAUGCGUAGAGAUUUGGAAGAACACCAGUGGCGAAGGCGACUUUCUGGACGAUGUCUGACGCUGAGGCGCGAAAGCUAGGGGAGCGAACGGGAUUAGAAACCCCGGUAGUCC
This 450-nucleotide ribosomal RNA is filed under the name uncultured bacterium. RNAcentral's name for it is "partial 16S ribosomal RNA". It matches the Rfam family "Bacterial small subunit ribosomal RNA", at positions 354 to 796 of the family's 1533-position model. The record is from RNAcentral.